AACAAAAAGCAAGAGAGGAAUUAAUUCAGGUUCCACAAGGAGGAAACCAUCGUGUUGUGAUUGAAGAUAAAUUGAUCUCUGAUGAAGAAGAAUCCAUGGAGGAAGAGAGUGGACAAAGAAAUCUACACAAUAAUCAUGAUUCUCGCAUGGAUGCUGAUGAAGAAUUCAAGAAAGACGAGAUAGUUGAUAGAGAUAAUCAACAAAGCAAUCAUGACUAUCAGAUGAAGACU
This 230-nucleotide long non-coding RNA is filed under the name Arabidopsis lyrata. RNAcentral describes it as "long non-coding RNA (ALYR_LNC002437)". The record is from RNAcentral. Lineage: Eukaryota; Viridiplantae; Streptophyta; Magnoliopsida; Brassicales; Brassicaceae.